This 253-nucleotide ribosomal RNA is filed under the name uncultured bacterium. Its description in RNAcentral is "partial 16S ribosomal RNA". It matches the Rfam family "Bacterial small subunit ribosomal RNA", at positions 524 to 776 of the family's 1533-position model. The record is from RNAcentral.
UACGGGGGGGGCAAGCGUUGUUCGGAAUUACUGGGCGUAAAGGGCGCGUAGGCGGUGCUCUAAGUCGGAUGUGAAAACUCUGGGCUCAACCCAGAGCCUGCAUCCGAAACUGGAGUGCUAGAGUUCUGGAGGGGGUAGCGGAAUUCCUGGUGUAGCGGUGAAAUGCGUAGAUAUCUGGAGGAACACCGGUGGCGAAGGCGGCGUCCUGGACCAACACUGACACUGAGGAGCGAAAGCCAGGGGAGCAAACGGG